ACUCCUACGGGAGGCAGCAGUGGGGAAUAUUGCACAAUGGGGGGAAACCCUGAUGCAGCCAUGCCGCGUGUGUGAAGAAGGCCUUCGGGUUGUAAAGCACUUUCAGUAGGGAGGAAGGUAGUGUAGUUAAACACCUGCAUUAUUUGACGUUAGCGACAGAAGAAGCACCGGCUAACUCCGUGCCAGCAGCCGCGGUAAUACGGAGGGUGCGAGCGUUAAUCGGAAUUACUGGGCGUAAAGCGCAUGCAGGUGGUUUGUUAAGUCAGAUGUGAAAGCCCGGGGCUCAACCUCGGAAUUGCAUUUGAAACUGGCAGACUAGAGUACUGUAGAGGGGGGUAGAAUUUCAGGUGUAGCGGUGAAAUGCGUAGAGAUCUGAAGGAAUACCGGUGGCGAAGGCGGCCCCCUGGACAGAUACUGACACUCAGAUGCGAAAGCGUGGGAGCAAACAGGAUUAGAUACCCUGGUAGUGUACUGU
Molecule: ribosomal RNA, 475 nt
Filed under: uncultured bacterium
Lineage: Bacteria
Description: bacterial SSU rRNA
Rfam family: Bacterial small subunit ribosomal RNA
Source: RNAcentral